AGUCGAGGACACCCUUGUAGUAGCUCUUUAUGGAAUGAUAGAGGUUCGCCCCGUCGACAAAGACCGCGACCUUUUCCACAGAAUCUAGGUGCUCCACUCUUCCCACAGCGUUCCGCAUGUUACCAGAAAAAGCGAUGCGUCACGCCGUGUUCGGGCAGACGGCCGCGCGAGCUGGCUUGUAUGAUAUGCUCGUGCCUCGAAGAAGGCGACGCAAACUAGAGUUCGAGAAAUCCCUGGGUAGAGAGCGGAGCAUCAGCGCGGUGGAAUUCAAGGUCAGCAUAGACGAGCACGCCGACACCUACUCGGUCGUCGCGGUGCGCGGGGAGGUGGAUCUCCAUACGGCCCCGAAGGUUCAGUACGCUAU
Molecule: unclassified non-coding RNA, 364 nt
Filed under: plant metagenome
Description: partial contains 5.8S ribosomal RNA, internal transcribed spacer 2, and large subunit ribosomal RNA
Source: RNAcentral